Molecule: ribosomal RNA, 253 nt
Filed under: uncultured bacterium
Lineage: Bacteria
Description: partial 16S ribosomal RNA
Rfam family: Bacterial small subunit ribosomal RNA
Source: RNAcentral
UACGGAGGGUGCAAGCGUUGUUCGGAAUCACUGGGCGUAAAGCGCGUGUAGGCGGCUAUUUAAGUCUGAUGUGAAAGCCCUGGGCUUAACCCAGGAAGUGCAUUGGAUACUGGGUAGCUCGAGUACCGGAGAGGAGGGUGGAAUUCCUGGUGUAGCGGUGAAAUGCGUAGAUAUCAGGAGGAACACCGGUGGCGAAGGCGUCCCUCUGGCCGGAUACUGACGCUGAGACGCGAAAGCGUGGGGAGCAAACAGG